This 448-nucleotide ribosomal RNA is filed under the name uncultured bacterium. Its description in RNAcentral is "bacterial SSU rRNA". It matches the Rfam family "Bacterial small subunit ribosomal RNA", at positions 329 to 792 of the family's 1533-position model. The record is from RNAcentral.
AGCCAGACUCCUACGGGCGGCCGCAGUGGGUCCUCUUGCCCAAUGGGUGGCACCCCGAUGCCGCGACGCCGCGUGGGUGAAGGAGCCCCUCGGUGCGUAACGCCCUCUCGGCAGGGCGGACACAGACGGUCCCUGACUAAGAAGCCCCGGCUAACUCCGUGCCAGCAGCCGCGGUCCUACGUAGGGGGCCCGCGUUAUCCGGAUUCACUGGGGGGCAAGGGAGCGUAGACGGCGACGCAAGGCUGGAGUGAAAGCCCGGGGCCCAACCCCGGGACUGCUCGGGAAGCUGCGGCGCGGGAGGACGGGAGGGGCAGGCGGAAGUCCUGGUGGAGCGGUGAAAUGCGGAGAGAUCAGGAGGAACACCGGCGGCGAAGGCGGCCUGCUGGACGGAAACUGACGGGGAGGCGCGAAAGCGGGGGGAGCAACCAGGAGGAGAGACCCGAGGACA